GCACAUUUAUCGUUUUCUCUCUCCUCUUCUUCGUUCUUUCCUCCCAGAAAGGAGAAAAGCGAUUCCUCUGUCAAGCGAGCGGAGGCUUUUUCAAAUUUUGAAUCUCUGCUGUCGCUCUCAUUUGCUACUCGGCGCUUUCGUCGAUUGCUGUUGCUGCUCCGGCGUUCCAAGCAGCCUCUCCGCCGUCGCUCCGACGGUUGCUCGCUCUCUGCUCCGUCGCUGGCUCCGUCUCUGCUCCGAUGCUCACUCUUUGCUCCGUUACUUGCUCCGUUUCUGCUCCAGCGCGGCUUUCCUUCGCGCAUGAAUCCGCCGUGGACGCCCUCCAGUAAUCCAUCGAUCGCCGUCCCAUCCCUCUCGGUCCCCUCUCUCGUUUCAUCCAGCUAUUAAAGCUGUGAAUCGCAUCGCUGAGUUGAAUCUCUUCUCGUUUCACUUGCUACAGCGGGUUACUUUGCGUUUCUUUCGGAUAUUGAGCCGAGAAAAGUUGCAAGGGAUGAUUUUUAUUUCGGGCGGUGCGUUUUCCUUCUUCUCAGCCGAUUGAUUUUUUUGGCGUUUUGAUCGCAGAUUCAGCUUCUUCGACCUUCAUUCAGUGCUUGAACCGACGCGUGUCGGCUGCGAGCAGCGAUCUCAAUUUGCUCGACUCCAUGUCGUUUGGGACCGUGUCGUUUGAGGAGCUGUUAGGUCACUGCAACGAGGUUUUCCAGAAGAACCGAAGCGACCUCGCUCAGCUCGAGCAACGCCUUAAGAGCUUCGGCUACGUCCCGGGUACUUUGGGCUCCACCAUUUUUCUGCCUGUGUAUUUGAUUGCGAAUAAUUGCGUGGAACUAGUUUACUUGGUGCUGAAGUGUACACCAAUAUGCUGGAUCGAUGGGACAAGAAUGCUGGGGAUUUCAGUAGGAGUUGAAAGGGAUGAAAACGAGCAAGUCAAUUAUGUGCAGACCUUGUCCUGGUCUUGUUUCACGCAUCAAGUAACAUUUACUAAGAUGGGAGAGCGUGGAUGACAACAGUGAUGAGGAAUCAGAGAGGUCCAAAUCCGAAGUCAGUGAUGAAGAUGAAGCUACUGUGGAGCAAUUGCUCGGACGGUGGGGCACUUGUCUAAGAGUUCUGAGGUUAUGAUGACCUUAUGAAAGCUCCUGAAAUGGCUGUUACCAAGUGCAUAAUUCAGGAGCAUUAUCUUGAGCAAUUUGGGAAUCUUAGUUCUCCAUUUCUUGCUCACUUGCUGGAAUAUGGCUUG
This is a long non-coding RNA of Eucalyptus grandis, 1231 nucleotides long. RefSeq lists it as uncharacterized. The record is from RefSeq and is a predicted model, not a curated record. Lineage: Eukaryota; Viridiplantae; Streptophyta; Magnoliopsida; Myrtales; Myrtaceae. The transcript has 3 exons.